Molecule: ribosomal RNA, 494 nt
Filed under: Abiotrophia defectiva
Lineage: Bacteria; Bacillati; Bacillota; Bacilli; Lactobacillales; Aerococcaceae
Description: bacterial SSU rRNA
Rfam family: Bacterial small subunit ribosomal RNA
Source: RNAcentral
GACGAACGCUGGCGGCGUGCCUAAUACAUGCAAGUCGAACGAACCGCGACUGAGUGCUUGCACUUGGUCAAGGUGAGUGGCGAACGGGUGAGUAACACGUGGGUAACCUACCUCAUAGUGGGGGAUAACAGUCGGAAACGACUGCUAAUACCGCAUAGGACAUGGGAUCACAUGAUCCAGUGAGGAAAGGUGGCGCAAGCUAUCGCUAAGAGAUGGACCCGCGGUGCAUUAGCUAGUUGGUAGGGUAAAGGCCUACCAAGGCGAUGAUGCAUAGCCGACCUGAGAGGGUGAUCGGCCACAUUGGGACUGAGACACGGCCCAAACUCCUACGGGAGGCAGCAGUAGGGAAUCUUCCGCAAUGGACGCAAGUCUGACGGAGCAACGCCGCGUGAGUGAAGAAGGUCUUCGGAUCGUAAAGCUCUGUUGUUAGAGAAGAACAGCGCAUAGAGUAACUGUUAUGCGUGUGACGGUAUCUAACCAGAAAGCCACGGCUA